GCGGGCCUGGCGGAGGACAGGGGCGGGCGCCCCGGCUGUCGCAGGUCGCCGUUGCUCGUGGGAGGGAGGAGGUUGCUAUGCAAAUGGUGCGGCCUGCGGAGGCCCCCUUACCCAGGGGCCCUCCGGUUGCCAAAACAGACCAUUCCCCCCGAACAGUCGCCUGGAAACGGGGCGCUGUCAUAGCAGCCUCGGGGUAAUGGUGAGCCAGCCUGCUGCCAGGAGGAGCUGGGUCACGAUGUGCCGAACUCGGCCGCGUCGCCCUCUCCCUUCCCACCAGUCUUCACCUCCGGGAAGGGCGUGGCGGUUCGGCCUCCGCCGGAGAGGAGGGGGAGUAAUUGGAUUGGAGAGCUCCAGAAACCCAUCAGCUGCUGCUCUCUGGGGACGGGGAGGCGGGCGGCCGCAGCCCGGCUUUGUGAUGGGUCUCAGCCCCUCGCGGCCCUGCAGCCCGGCCCUGACCUGGUGUGCUGGGUCUAGGACGCGGUGCGGGCUCCCUACGAGGCCAGAGGACGCAGACAUCCGUCAGAUGAUCGGCAGAAUGGAAUUCGGCUCUGAUGGGGAACGCGGAGGACGCUGGGGAGACCUGACCCGGGUUGGAGGGUCUGGGAAGACCGGGGUGGCCGGCCCGUGGUCACUCAGUGCCUAGCUGCUUCAGUCUUUGAAGACCUUGUCUGUGUGUGUGUGUGUGUGUGUGUGUGUGAACGUCUGGGGCGGGGGUGGACGUAUAUACGUGAAUGCAGGCCUGUGGGAGGCCAGACACGUGAGAUUCCCGGAGCGCUGGAGUAAUUGGCAGUUGGGAGCCGCUGGGAAUUGAGCUGGGGUCCUAUACAUGGCCGGUGGUGUGCUGGUUAACGGCUGUGCCAUCUCUUCAGCCGCCACGGUUUGGGAGUUGGGGUUUUGUUAUUGUUUGGUUUGGUUUGAUACAGGGUCUUUCCUUGCAUCCCCCAUUGGUCUAGAACUUACUCACUUUGUAGACCAGGCUGAUCUCAAACUCACAGAAACCCACCUGCCUCUGCCUCCUGAGUGCUGGGAUUACAGGCGUGUGCUGCCGCGCCUGGCUUGUGAGGCAUUUCCUGUGGGUGCUGGGAACCAAACUGCUGGCCAGCAACAAGAGCCAGCGCUCCUCCAUACCCAGGUUACACCCUUCACCCGCCGCCACAGCCCCACACAACCCAGGGCAGGCACGGAGGUUCAGGCCUCUGAUUCCAGCAGAAGCAGGUAGGCGGAUCAAGAGUUCAGGGUCAUCCCAAACUACAACGCGAGUUUGAGGUCACUCUGGCCGGUCUGAGACUGUUGCAAUAAUGUAAUGACGUCAUCCUGUAUUUGUAGGGGGACAGCCAAGCCAUAGUUCAGGUGACACCCAUCAUGUCUAUCUUGUGAGCACCAGCAUCCUUUGAUCAACUUUUCCGUGCGUCCGUGGGUGGGGUUUUCCGAAGUCAUAAAUCACACUUCUCCAAAACGAAGGGCAGAGAUUCACUUCCCCAGAAACCCUCGCAGUUAAGGUGUAGGCAUGGGACCUAGGUUCCCCAGUCAGCUACAGGCAUAUGAGGUUUUGAUCUGGGGGAGAGCAGCUGAGCAGAAAGAUAAUCUGUAGGGGAAGAAUUUCCGGAGCUUGGGCCUCCAGAACAGCAGGAAGGCCGUCCCGGCUCGGGAGAGGAGAGGCAGUUUGCAGGGAAGGAGGUAGACCAGGCUGGCCUUGAACUCGGAGCUGAAGUUAGAGGCCGUUGUGAGCAGCCCUCUCUGGGUGAUGGGGGCUGAAUUUGGAUCCUCUGCAAAGCUCUUACUGUUGAACCAUUGCUCCAGCCCCAGGAACGUGUGUUUCUCCUUCUUUUUCUCGGUGUGGAGGAGCUAACCCGGGUCUCCAUCCUUGCGCAGCAGACACUCCACCAACUGAGCCCUCGCCCUCAGCUCCCCUGUUCCAUUUUUUUUUCAAUGUUGAGAACUAACAGUAACAAAUGUUUGCGCUGACUGUGUUGGUGCACACUUGUAAUCACAGUGCCCAGAAGCUGAGGCAGGAAGAGCCGUAGUUCAAGGUCAGCUUUGACUGCAUAAGGAGCUCAGUCUGGGCUACCUGAGACCCUGUCUUAAAAUAACACUAUUACGUUAAAAACAGCAACAGCAAAACAAAAAAAGCCCUCAGAGCCAGGCGAGGUGGUGCACGCCUGUGAUCCCAGCACUCGGGGAGACAGAAGCAGGCAGGUCUCUGUGAGUUCUAGGCCAGCCUGGUCUACAAAAGCAAGUCCAGGAUAGCCAGGACUACACAGGUUAACUGUCUUGAAAAAAAAAACAAACCAAAACAACAACAACAACAGCACCUCAGAAGGCCAGGUGCAGAGUUGCUUGAAGUGUGGCGAGGUCAGCUGGGGAAGCCAGCUCCCCAACACUGGACUGCACCCUGCACUCAGCCGCCCUCUAGCACCAUCGGUCCGAACGCCCUGCCCAGCCUGUCUUCUGAGUCCUGUGCCGGCCAUCUGCCUGUCAGGCGUGCCUGGCUCAUCCUGCCUUGUGACACUGCUCUGACAGUUACCCAACAGUCCCAUUUUCCCUUGAGCAAGGAUGACACUCGCACUGUGACUCGUCUGUUGCUCUGCCCUCUCUCAGCUCUGGCCUCCGUGGCACUGACUGUCCCUCGGCUGGCAUGUGCCAGUGCCUGGCUCUAAGGCUAUUUCUCAUGGGCUGUGUCUGGUCAUCUGUUGCCCAGAAGGGUUGAGAAUCACAGAUCGCGUAACCUUGGCAAACUGGACUUCUCACAGCCAGGGAAAAGUGGGGAAGUUUUGUUUAUGGAUGAGAAUCAAGUUUAUUUUUAUGUUUAGUUGUGUGUAUGGGUAUAUGUGGGUCUGGGUAUGGGUAUGUGCAGGGGAGUCCAGGUGCCCACCAAGGGAGGGCAUCGGAUCUCCUGGAGCUGGAGUUAUGGGAGAUUAUGGAGUUGCUGUGGCUCCUGGGAGCUGAAUUUAGGGCCCCUGCAAGAGCAGUGAGGGCUCUUAACCAUAGAGCUGUUUUCUCGGGCAUGGAAACCCUGUUCUUCAUCCUCACACUGAUGAGUUUCCCCACGGUGAAAUGUCAAGAUUUCCCAAGGAGAGUCUUUUGUUCCCGGCAGAUGGCCUGUGGUGUGCCUGGCACCAAGUGGAUUGCUAUGGCCAGAACUGGAUGAGGCCACAGUCCCCCUGCCCUUUUAUAAUAUAUUCAUCCGAUGAUGAACCAGGACGAGAUUCGUGGAUAUGUGGGCAGAUGGACUGCCCCAGCCAUUGGACCCAGCCAGCAGUCACCUGCCUGAGGACGACGAUGAAUUAUUGUAAGAAGCAAGCACCUGGAUCUCUCCGGGCAGUUUGAACCUGGCACCCGCUUCAACACGCUGGGUUUUUUUUCUCACUAGAAUCUCCCCAGCGGACCGAAUCCUAAAAAUAAAUGCUCUUGUUUGCAAGACAG
Molecule: long non-coding RNA, 3423 nt
Organism: Meriones unguiculatus (Mongolian gerbil)
Lineage: Eukaryota; Metazoa; Chordata; Mammalia; Rodentia; Muridae
Exons: 2
Source: RefSeq, a predicted model, not a curated record